Molecule: ribosomal RNA, 447 nt
Filed under: uncultured bacterium
Lineage: Bacteria
Description: bacterial SSU rRNA
Rfam family: Bacterial small subunit ribosomal RNA
Source: RNAcentral
CGGCCAGACUCCUACGGGAGGCAGCAGUGGGGGAUAUUGCACAAUGGGGGGAACCCUGAUGCAGCGACGCCGCGUGAGUGAAGAAGUCUUUCGGUAUGUAAAGCUCUAUCAGCAGGGAAGAAAAUGACGGUACCUGACUAAGAAGCCCCGGCUAACUACGUGCCAGCAGCCGCGGUAAUACGUAGGGGGCAAGCGUCAUCCGGAUUUACUGGGUGUAAAGGGGGCGCAGACGGCAGCGCAAGCCAGGAGUGAAAGCCCGGGGCCCAACCCCGGGACUGCUCUUGGAACUGCGCGGCUGGAGUGCAGGAGGGGCAGGCGGAAUUCCUGGUGUAGCGGUGAAAUGCGUAGAUAUCAGGAGGAACACCGGUGGCGAAGGCGGCCUGCUGGACUGCAACUGACGUUGAGGCCCGAAAGCGUGGGGAGCAAACAGGAUUAGAUACCCUCGUA